This 2029-nucleotide ribosomal RNA is filed under the name metagenome. Its description in RNAcentral is "bacterial LSU rRNA". It matches the Rfam family "Bacterial large subunit ribosomal RNA", at positions 1 to 2035 of the family's 2925-position model. The record is from RNAcentral.
UUAAAGUAGAAAGAGCGUAGGGUGGAUGCCUUGGCACUAAGAGCCGAUGAAAGACGUGAUAAGCUGCGAUAAGCUGCGGGGAGGAGCAAAUAUCCUUUGAUCCGCAGAUCUCUGAAUGGGGAAACCCGGCGGAGUAUCCCUCCGUCAGCGUAUGGUGAAUCCAUAGCCAUACGUGGGGAACCCGGGGAACUGAAACAUCUAAGUACCCGGAGGAAGAGAAAGAAACCUCGAUUUCCAAAGUAGCGGCGAGCGAAAUGGAAAGAGCCCAAACCAGAAUGCGUGCAUUCUGGGGUUCGGACUGCGACAUGGGAUUAUGUAUGACAGGAGAACGGCCUGGGAAGGCCGGCCAGAGAGGGUGAAAGCCCCGUAUCCGAAGUCAGAAGUACCCUGGCAGGAUCCAGAGUACCACGAGACACGAGAAACCUUGUGGGAAUGAGCGGGGACCACCCCGUAAGGCUAAAUACUCCUUAGUGACCGAUAGCGCAUAGUACUGUGAAGGAAAGGUGAAAAGGACCCCGGGAGGGGAGUGAAAGAGAACCUGAAACCCUAUGUUUACAAGCUGUGGAACCCCUUUAGAUGGGGAACUGCGUACUUUUUGUAGAACGGUCCGGCGAGUUGCCCGUACUGGCAAGGUUAAGGACUUAAGGUCUGGAGCCGAAGUGAAAGCAAGCGUUAAGAGCGCGGUAGAUGAUCACACUUUGUGUGGUCAUAACAGUCAGUGAGGGCAGACCCGAAACCGGGUGACCUAUCCAUGUCCAGGUUGAAGCUUCCGUAAGAGGAAGUGGAGGACCGAACCCACAUCCGUUGAAAAGGGUGGGGAUGAGGUGUGGAUAGCGGAGAAAUUCCAAUCGAACCCGGAGAUAGCUGGUUCUCCUCGAAAUAGCUUUAGGGCUAGCCUCAUCAAAGUCUGCUGGAGGUAGAGCACUGAAUUGUCUAGGGGGCGUCAAAGCUUACCAAAACAUAUCAAACUCCGAAUGCCAGUCAGAUGAUUGAUGGGAGUCAGACUGUACGAGAUAAGUUGGACAGUCGAAAGGGAAAGAGCCCAGACCACCAGCUAAGGUCCCAAAGUACGUGUUAAGUGGAAAAGGAUGUGGGAUUUCAAAGACAACUAGGACGUUGGCUUAGAAGCAGCCAUACAUUGAAAGAGUGCGUAAUAGCUCACUAGUCGAGAGAUCCUGCGCCGAAAAUGUCCGGGGCUAAAACACGACACCGAAGCUGUGGAAUGUAGAAAUACAUUGGUAGAGGAGCAUUGUAAGCGGGAUGAAGCCAUACCGAAAGGAGUGGUGGACUGCUUAGAAGAGAGAAUGCCGGAAUGAGUAGCGAGAGGAAGGUGAGAAUCCUUCCGGCCGAAUAUCUAAGGUUUCCAGAGUAAAGCUGAUCUGCUCUGGGUAAGUCGGGACCUAAGGCGAGGGCGAGAGCCGUAGUCGAUGGAUAACUGGUUGAGAUUCCAGUACCACAUAAAAACAGAACUGUGGGGACACAGAAGGGAAAUGGGAGCCAGGAAUGGAAAGACUGGUGCAAGCGAAGUAGCCGUAUGGGAGGCAAAUCCCCCAUGCAAGGCAAAGGCGUUACGCGGACCGAACAAAAGUAGGGAAGCCCAGGCCCCCAGCUGUCAAGAAAAGCCGCUAUUGUUUUUUAUGUGCCCGUACCGUAAACCGACACAGGUGGAUGAGGAGAGAAUCCUAAGGCCGACGGGAGAAGUGUUGUUAAGGAACUCGGCAAAAUGACUCCGUAACUUCGGGAGAAGGAGUGCCAGGUAAGACUGGCCGCAGAGAAUUGGCCCAAGCAACUGUUUAGCAAAAACACAGGUCUAUGCAAAACCGCAAGGUGAAGUAUAUGGGCUGACGCCUGCCCGGUGCUGGAAGGUUAAGGGGAGGGCUUAGCGAGUGAUCGCGAAGGUCUGAACUUAAGCCCCAGUAAACGGCGGCCGUAACUAUAACGGUCCUAAGGUAGCGAAAUUCCUUGUCGGGUAAGUUCCGACCCGCACGAAAGGCGUAAUGAUUUGGGCACUGUCUCAACAACACACCCG